AAAGCAUUGUGAGGGCAUUUCCUAAGUAUCUCCUUAAAUCUCUCCUCACUUUCAUAAAUAGAUUCUCCUUUAAACUGGGCAAAAGAAGUGACAUCAUUUUUAAGUUU
Small nucleolar RNA from Dendrobium catenatum, 107 nucleotides. NCBI's taxonomy places the organism in Eukaryota, Viridiplantae, Streptophyta, Magnoliopsida, Asparagales, Orchidaceae. The record is from RefSeq and is a predicted model, not a curated record.